This 403-nucleotide ribosomal RNA is filed under the name Fusobacteriota bacterium. Its description in RNAcentral is "Fusobacteria bacterium partial 16S ribosomal RNA". It matches the Rfam family "Bacterial small subunit ribosomal RNA", at positions 355 to 776 of the family's 1533-position model. The record is from RNAcentral. Lineage: Bacteria; Fusobacteriati; Fusobacteriota.
UGGGGAAUUUUGCACAAUGGAGGAAACUCUGAUGCAGCGACGCCGCGUGAGUGAUGAAGAUCUUCGGAUUGUAAAACUCUGUCCUUAGUGAAGAUAAUGACAGUAACUAAGAAGCAAGCCCUGGCUAAAUACGUGCCAGCAGCCGCGGUAAUACGUAUGGGGCAAGCGUUGUCCGGAAUUAUUGGGCGUAAAGGGUACGUAGGCGGUUUAAUAAGUCCUAAUUAAAAGGCUAUGGCUCAACCAUAGUAUGGUUAGGAAACUGUUGAACUUGAAUAGAUGAGGGGGUAGUAGAAUUCCAUGUGUAGCGGUGAAAUGCGUAGAUGUAUGGAGGAAAACCAAUGGCGAAGGCAACUUUCUGGAAUCAAACUGACGCUGAGGUACGAAGGCGUGGGGAGCAAACAGG